CUAAUGCUUUUUGUCGUAGUGAGUGGAGUGGGGAGUUCAGCAUGGCCCCUGAAUUGCCUGCCACCUGCAGUGUCACUGGAGGAAGUGGAGCAGGAGAAACGGCCACGGAUCCUUCCGGAGGAGCUUUUACCUCACCAAAGCUUUAUGAGGCUGAAGGCAGGCAAUUUAUCCUCUCAUCUGACCAGGUUUUUGUGCAAGGAAGAAAGUUCCCAUUGUCUGCCAGACCCUGCUCUUGCUAAUGGGAGGAACUCUAAUUGAGCUGUCAGGAGAACCUUUUGUGGAAGGAAUGAACUCACCCCUCAUUCAAGGUUGUGCCGUUAGGAAGCCGUGAUGCCAGGACAGAACUCAGCCCUGCCUGCCCCUGUCCUUCUCAUCCAUCCUGCUGUGUCUUUCUCACAUUCAAGGGCCUUACAACCAAUGGUAAGUGCAAUUAUUAUGCCCUCUUAGCCUACAGAGAGCUGCCCACAGGGUGCCCUAGGAAGCCCAGGUAG
This 491-nucleotide long non-coding RNA is filed under the name Chinchilla lanigera (long-tailed chinchilla). Its description in RNAcentral is "lncRNA (ENSCLAG00000028541.1)". Lineage: Eukaryota; Metazoa; Chordata; Mammalia; Rodentia; Chinchillidae. The record is from RNAcentral.